GUCUACAGCCAUGGCACCCUGAACAUGCCUGAUCUCGUUUGAUCUCAGAAGCUAAGCAGGAUCAGGCCUGAUUAGUACUCGGAUGGGAGACCACCUAGGACUACCAGGUGCUAUAGGCU
RNAcentral lists this ribosomal RNA (119 nucleotides) under Pteropus alecto (black flying fox). Lineage: Eukaryota; Metazoa; Chordata; Mammalia; Chiroptera; Pteropodidae. The record is from RNAcentral.